This is an RNA transcript of Marmota monax (woodchuck), 1337 nucleotides long. It is a transcript of the gene named solute carrier family 25 member 26, with no coding region annotated. The transcript is spliced from 10 exons. NCBI's taxonomy places the organism in Eukaryota, Metazoa, Chordata, Mammalia, Rodentia, Sciuridae. The record is from RefSeq and is a predicted model, not a curated record.
CAGGGUGGGAUGCUCGGAGUGCCUCAGGCCUGCAGUGGAGUCCAUGGGGAUUUCCUUCCGGUUUGGCGCGCGGGCUUGGCGCGCAGGUCUGACCUCGGGUUCCUGACCGCGAGGUCUCCCACGGAGCCCCGGGCACUACUGCGGUGGCGGUCCCUGGUCCCGAGGUCGCGUGUCGUGACCGCACGUCAAGAGGGGGAACGAGAGGCUGGUGGGGUAGCAGGUGCCUCUGUUGACUUGAUAUUAUUUCCUCUGGAUACCAUUAAAACCAGGCUGCAGAGUCCCCAAGGAUUUUAUAAGGCUGGUGGUUUUCGCGGAAUAUAUGCUGGUGUUCCUUCUGCUGCUAUUGGAUCCUUUCCUAAUGCUGCUGCAUUUUUCCUCACCUAUGAAUAUGUGAAAUGGUGUUUGUACACUGAUUCAUCUUCGUAUUUGAUGCCUGUGAAGCACAUGUUGGCUGCCUCUGCUGGAGAAGUGGUUGCCUGUCUGAUUCGAGUUCCUUCAGAAGUGGUUAAGCAGAGGGCACAGGUAUCUGCUUCCUCAAGAACAUUUCAGAUUUUCUCUGAUAUCUUAUAUGAAGAGGGCAUCCAAGGCUUGUAUCGAGGCUAUAAAAGCACAGUUUUAAGAGAGAUUCCUUUCUCUUUGGUCCAGUUUCCCUUGUGGGAAUUCUUAAAAGCCCUCUGGUCCUGGCGGCAGGAGCAUGUGGUGGAUUCUUGGCAGUCAGCGGUCUGUGGAGCUUUUGCAGGUGGCUUUGCAGCUGCAGUCACCACCCCUCUGGAUGUGGCAAAGACAAGAAUCAUGUUGGCAAAGGCUGGUUCCAGCGUAGCCGGUGGCAACGUGCUUUCUGCCCUGCGUGGGGUCUGGCGGUCACAGGGGCUGGCAGGGUGAGGACAGCGCGAGUGCUCGGCUGCCUCGCUCCGCUCCACCGGCCCGGCCCUUCCUAUCUGCCUUCCACAGGACGGACCUUUCCUUUCUUCUGCUUAUGGUUAUGUCCUGGUCCAGGUUAUUUGCGGGUGUCUUCCCUCGGAUGGCCUCCAUCAGCCUGGGAGGGUUCAUCUUUCUGGGUGCCUACGACCAGACUCGCUGCCUGCUGUUGCAAGUGGGCAGAGAGGGUUCCUAGCGGACACCACUCACGCACAUCCAUGAAGAAGUGGGAGCACGGAACCUGUGCUGAAGCCCAGAGCUGCCCUCACUGUGACCCUGAGGCCAUGGUACCAUGGUCAGGCCGGCUGCAGUUGUCCUCAGUGUGCCACAAAGAAGAAAGUGCGUCAUGGUGGGACUCUGAAGGGACCCUCAGAACCCUUAAUAAACGCGCCUGGCAGUGCCGGGGAGCUUGUGUUUGA